This 1394-nucleotide ribosomal RNA is filed under the name bacterium NLAE-zl-P205. RNAcentral describes it as "bacterial SSU rRNA". It matches the Rfam family "Bacterial small subunit ribosomal RNA". The record is from RNAcentral.
AUAGAGCUUACCAUGCAGUCUACUUGAUCCUUCGGGUGAAGGUGGCGGACGGGUGAGUAACGCGUAAAGAACUUGCCUUACAGACUGGGACAACAUUUGGAAACGAAUGCUAAUACCGGAUAUUAUGACUGAGUCGCAUGAUUUGGUUAUGAAAGCUAUAUGCGCUGUGAGAGAGCUUUGCGUCCCAUUAGUUAGUUGGUGAGGUAACGGCUCACCAAGACGAUGAUGGGUAGCCGGCCUGAGAGGGUGAACGGCCACAAGGGGACUGAGACACGGCCCUUACUCCUACGGGAGGCAGCAGUGGGGAAUAUUGGACAAUGGACCAAAAGUCUGAUCCAGCAAUUCUGUGUGCACGAUGAAGUUUUUCGGAAUGUAAAGUGCUUUCAGUUGGGAAGAAGUCAGUGACGGUACCAACAGAAGAAGCGACGGCUAAAUACGUGCCAGCAGCCGCGGUAAUACGUAUGUCGCAAGCGUUAUCCGGAUUUAUUGGGCGUAAAGCGCGUCUAGGCGGUUUAGUAAGUCUGAUGUGAAAAUGCGGGGCUCAACCCCGUAUUGCGUUGGAAACUGUUAAACUAGAGUACUGGAGAGGUAGGCGGAACUACAAGUGUAGAGGUGAAAUUCGUAGAUAUUUGUAGGAAUGCCGAUGGGGAAGCCAGCCUACUGGACAGAUACUGACGCUAAAGCGCGAAAGCGUGGGUAGCAAACAGGAUUAGAUACCCUGGUAGUCCACGCCGUAAACGAUGAUUACUAGGUGUUGGGGGUCGAACCUCAGCGCCCAAGCUAACGCGAUAAGUAAUCCGCCUGGGGAGUACGUACGCAAGUAUGAAACUCAAAGGAAUUGACGGGGACCCGCACAAGCGGUGGAGCAUGUGGUUUAAUUCGACGCAACGCGAGGAACCUUACCAGCGUUUGACAUCCCAAGAAGUUAACAGAGAUGUUUUCGUGCCUCUUCGGAGGAACUUGGUGACAGGUGGUGCAUGGCUGUCCUCAGCUCGUGUCGUGAGAUGUUGGGUUAAGUCCCGCAACGAGCGCAACCCCUUUCGUAUGUUACCAUCAUUAAGUUGGGGACUCAUGCGAGACUGCCUGCGAUGAGCAGGAGGAAGGUGGGGAUGACGUCAAGUCAUCAUGCCCCUUAUACGCUGGGCUACACACGUGCUACAAUGGGUAGUACAGAGAGCUGCAAACCUGCGAGGGUAAGCUAAUCUCAUAAAACUAUUCUUAGUUCGGAUUGUACUCUGCAACUCGAGUACAUGAAGUUGGAAUCGCUAGUAAUCGCAAAUCAGCUAUGUUGCGGUGAAUACGUUCUCGGGUCUUGUACACACCGCCCGUCACACCACGAGAGUUGGUUGCACCUGAAGUAACAGGCCUAACCGUAAGGANGGAUUNCCAGGUGU